Molecule: non-coding RNA, 103 nt
Filed under: Daucus carota subsp. sativus
Lineage: Eukaryota; Viridiplantae; Streptophyta; Magnoliopsida; Apiales; Apiaceae
Source: RNAcentral
GAGUUGGCUCAUGGCCACUGAGCGAAGGCUCGGUGGUCCUGGUCUUUAAAGUGGAAGGCAUUGCGCUAGGCUGGUUUCACAAAGCAGUGACCACGUCCCUCUC